RNAcentral lists this ribosomal RNA (253 nucleotides) under uncultured bacterium. Its description in RNAcentral is "partial 16S ribosomal RNA". It matches the Rfam family "Bacterial small subunit ribosomal RNA", at positions 524 to 776 of the family's 1533-position model. The record is from RNAcentral.
UACGUAGGUGGCGAGCGUUGUCCGGAUUUACUGGGCGUAAAGAGCGCGCAGGCGGUCGUUCAAGUCGCGUGUGAAAGCCCCCGGCUCAACUGGGGAGGGUCACGCGAUACUGAUCGACUCGAAGGCAGGAGAGGGUAGUGGAAUUCCCGGUGUAGUGGUGAAAUGCGUAGAUAUCGGGAGGAACACCAGUGGCGAAGGCGACUACCUGGCCUGUGCUUGACGCUGAGGCGCGAAAGCUAGGGGAGCAAACGGG